This 253-nucleotide ribosomal RNA is filed under the name uncultured bacterium. RNAcentral describes it as "partial 16S ribosomal RNA". It matches the Rfam family "Bacterial small subunit ribosomal RNA", at positions 524 to 776 of the family's 1533-position model. The record is from RNAcentral.
GACAGAGGGGGCAAGCGUUGCUCGGAAUCACUGGGCGUAAAGGGCGCGUAGGCGGGAUGGCCCGUCGGUCGUGAAAUCCUUCGGCUCAACCGAAGAACGUCGGCCGAUACUGCCGUUCUUGAGGGAUGCAGAGGAGAUUGGAAUUCCCGGUGUAGCGGUGAAAUGUGUAGAGAUCGGGAGGAACACCGGUGGCGAAGGCGGGUCUCUGGGCAUCUCCUGACGCUGAGGCGCGAAAGCGUGGGGAGCAAACGGG